UGUCGCUGCCCUCCUUGGGCGUUUCCUCCCUAGACUUGGGGCCGUUCAAUCUUUUGGAUGGCCUCUUUUUUUGCCCUC
This 78-nucleotide small RNA is filed under the name Rhodomicrobium vannielii ATCC 17100. RNAcentral's name for it is "Makes More Granules Regulator RNA (mmgR)". It matches the Rfam family "Makes More Granules Regulator RNA (mmgR)". From Rfam's summary of the family: SuhB later renamed mmgR (makes more granules regulator) was a putative non-coding RNA found multiple times in the Agrobacterium tumefaciens genome and related alpha-proteobacteria. Other non-coding RNAs uncovered in the same analysis include: speF, ybhL, metA, and serC. Lineage: Bacteria; Pseudomonadati; Pseudomonadota; Alphaproteobacteria; Hyphomicrobiales; Hyphomicrobiaceae. The record is from Rfam by way of RNAcentral.